This 199-nucleotide ribosomal RNA is filed under the name uncultured bacterium. Its description in RNAcentral is "partial 16S ribosomal RNA". It matches the Rfam family "Bacterial small subunit ribosomal RNA", at positions 328 to 539 of the family's 1533-position model. The record is from RNAcentral.
ACGCUCGACACCUACGGGAGGCAGCAGUUGGGAAUAUUGGACAAUGGAGGAAACUCUGAUCCAGUGACGCCGCGUGAAGGAAGAAGGUCUUCGGAUUGUAAACUUAUUUUGUCAGGGAAGAAAAAUGACUGUACCUGAAGAAAAAGCACCGGCUAACUACGUGUCAGCAGCCGCGGUAAUCUGAGCGGGCUGGCAAGGC